RNAcentral lists this ribosomal RNA (253 nucleotides) under uncultured bacterium. RNAcentral describes it as "partial 16S ribosomal RNA". It matches the Rfam family "Bacterial small subunit ribosomal RNA", at positions 524 to 776 of the family's 1533-position model. The record is from RNAcentral.
UACGUAGGGUGCGAGCGUUAAUCGGAAUUACUGGGCGUAAAGCGUGCGUAGGCGGUUCGGUAAGUCAGCUGUGAAAGCCCCGGGCUCAACCUGGGAAUUGCGGUUGAAACUGGCGAACUAGAAUCUGGCAGAGGGGGGUGGAAUUCCACGUGUAGCAGUGAAAUGCGUAGAGAUGUGGAGGAACACCGAUGGCGAAGGCAGCCCCCUGGGCUGAGAUUGACGCUCAGGCACGAAAGCGUGGGGAGCAAACAGG